RNAcentral lists this ribosomal RNA (3732 nucleotides) under Triticum aestivum (bread wheat). RNAcentral's name for it is "partial small subunit ribosomal RNA". The record is from RNAcentral. Lineage: Eukaryota; Viridiplantae; Streptophyta; Magnoliopsida; Poales; Poaceae.
UGGUGGGUGGUGUAGCGGUCGGAGGGCCUUAGGCGAGUGGACGGCGGCGGCGGCGGUGGCGCCGGUCUCCGGUGCGUGGGGUGCGCCGGCGAGCUUGGGCUCCAGUCUAGGUUUGGGGUCGGUGUCCAGGCUUAGCGCGGCGUUUAAAAGAUACAAAACCAUGCCUAGAUCCCAACCGGCACCUUAAGGCCCCCGCCCCCGUUAAGCGAGCCUAAGGAGGUGCCGAGCCUAAAGCACGAGUACCGCCGGCCCGCGGUGUCUCCCGUGUCCCCGAUACUCCGCUCCCUCGCCCUCGGGCUGCGGAUCCGGCGGUCCUCCUCGGUCUCGGAGCCGCCGGCGUGGCCUCGCUGCGGCUGGCGGCGGCGCUGCCGCCCGCGUCGUCGCCACCGUCCCUUAAGAGGUUGCCGAUACCGGUGGCGGCGAGCGUGGGCGGGUUUUCGGCGGAGAGGUUCUCCGAACCCCUGGUCCCCGGGCCACUCCACGAGUCGCCCUCACGCAGUCUGCUGAGACCACCCUCCAGUCCGUCUCGCCGCCCCCUCUUAUGGUACAGGUCAAGAUCGUCCCUCCCGCUCCACCGCCACCCCCGCGGACGACGGGGAAGCGGGUCGUUUUUCUCCUUUAAAAGCGGGUAUUAAACCCUGUCCCUAUCGGGUUUUGGCGGCGGCAAUGUAAGACCACGUCACUGACAUUUCCCUCACCACCAUAGGCGUAGACGACUAUAUCGUUCACUGUUCUUUCACCACCUCAGGAGAAGACGAGUUGAGGGAGGGGGAGGGGGCGACGGAGGUGUCCCCGUGUAGGGUCUCUCCAACCAGCACCUCUUAAGUGGCUACCUACACCUGGAGCGGCAACUAUGACUGUUGUGACUCGUCAACGUGCUCGACCUCCUAUUAUUUCACGAACUCCAUCUCCUCUCACUUCAUUUCCUCCUUCUCCUCUCAUUUCAUUCUAUACUCGUUGACCAUCAUAAACAAGUAACGGUAAAAAACGUACAUACCCAUAAUUUAUUUAUAGAGGUAUACCUUAACAUGUAGUUACCACACGAUGUCAUGAUCUCUAUAUAAAUAAAGGAGUAAAAACUAUUGGCAGGGUUUCCUGCCCAUGUGUAUGUUGUUCAUAUAAUAAAGUGGACAACUCGUGAGUACUAACAUGGGCAUGUUGUUCAUAAACGUCAAGACUGGAUGCUCAACUCAUAAAUGUAUCACUAAAACAUAAUUAUAUAUAAAGGGAGUCGGUGACCUUCUAACGUUAAGACUCGUGAGGGACUAACAUGGGUAUGUUGUUCAGAAUAUCAAGAAAGUAUUCUCAACUCAUAAAGGUAUAUUGAAGACAUGAUUAUCUAUAAGGCUAGUCGGUCACUUUACAGGUUAAAACACCUAGUGGAGUAAAACGUUGAGACUAGAUAGAUAUUAUAAAAAGCUCAAUAGUUACAACAUAAGUAGUGUACCCCUUAUAAACAACUUAAUUUAGACUCGGAUGUUCACUAUAACAAUAGAGACAAAUAGAGUAAACAACUCGUUACUACAAUAAAAAUUCCGACGAACAACUCGUUAAGGUACCAGGACCCAAGUGUGACUUGUAACGUGGUGGAGCGGAGAGUAGCCGCGGCGGCAUGGCGGAUGUGUCGGAGGCUCAGUUCCGCAACCGCUACGAGAAGAAGGUACUACUCCACUAAAACCGCACUCACGCCGUAGAGAGGAAGACGAGGAAGGUUUGAGAGUUUAACUAACAGACGUCGAGUCAGUUAGAAGACCAAAGUAGACCCUCCCCCUACUGCUCCUGGACCGGGAACAAACACCACUCGUUGGUAUAUGGUCCUCGCUUAUCUUCUACGACGGUAACGGUUAUGGAAUCUUCCUACUACUUGGAAGAUUUGUUUACAUAAAAUGAUGAAAAAAAGACAAGUUAGUUCAACGACCUCGGAACGAUUACCCAAGCUAAUACAAUUAUACAAGCAAACUUUGUACUUUAACGUAUAAUACUACAAAGUUCAAUUGCUUAACGUGACCGAACAAAAAUCAGUUUCAUAAAACCUACUAUAUAUCAUAUAACAUUGUGGUUUAAGUUCUUAUGAAACACGUCAAGACAUCGUAUUGAACGAACUGGUGUUUCUACCCGAUACUUGGCUAACAUUGGAGAGAAAAAAAAACGUCCUAUCUACUAACAUUGGAGAGUAGUACGCUAAUAGGAGAGAACAUCCUAUUUGAUGAAAAUCACUUUCAUCAACAGCGGUUUGUAUAACAUACACACGGAUAGUGGUUGAAAUACUCUUUUCUAUCUGGUACACUACUUCAAGAUGUGUUCUAUAUAAACAAAGGUUCCUUUGAUAUUCCCAAGAACAAAAAAGAGAAUAGUAAAAUGGUGUACCAGAAGAAUAUGGUCCAAUGUUUUACACUCAAUAAGAACAUGACCAUUAGGAAAAGAAAUUGACACCGUGUCACAUAACUGAAUUAAGAACCUUAUAAGACACCAGCGUUGACAUACAUAAAGUCUAACCUACGUCAAUGUUAAUAGAGUUCCGAUUACUGUGCGAUCUAAAAGGUAUGAAGAUCCUCACAACAUGUAUACGUCUAAGAAUACUUCCACGUACAGUAGUUAAAGACCGAAGGAAAAUAGAGCCGUCUAUAACAAGUAUAAAAAGCCUGCGUAUUUUAAAAACCACCAGUCAGAUAAACACGUGCUUACUUGAAGGUAUUAAAUUAUUAAACCAGCAGAUACCAUCGUGAUAGUUGACAAUAAAUGUACUUUGGUAUACAUACAAGUAAUACGAAAUAAGAGGAUGGUACUACACUAAUUGACCAUUAACAUCGGAUAACUUCAAGCUCUUGUCGUAUCGUAUAAAUGGUGUUAAUAAUAGCAAAGGAAUACUCUAAAGAUCGAUCUUUUCGAUAAAUGUACCAUACGUAAUGGUGUUGAGAGAGCCUAGAACGUAAUUACAUAACAUCGUCUCUGCACGUAACGUGCACGUGUAAAUGAUACCCCUACUACUACGACUUAACCGAACGCAUCAAAGACAAUAGUAUUAGCCGUAGAACACGUGACGGCAAAGUAGUUUAUAGAUUGUGUUGAAACGGUAUCGGUAUGUUGUGGUACUUAGACAGUUCGUUUUUCACUGUGGUAGUCCGUUGGUUCCCUAUAUUAUCAUACCAUGGUGUACUAUUAAUUAAUUAAAUUUGUCUCUAUAUGUUUAGAAAACAACAACGAAGGAUAUUUCGUUUCCCGAAGUUGAAGUUUUAUCACCUAAUGUAUACGAAGAAUUGACAAAAAGAAAGUGUGUUGUACGUACCGUAAAAAAAAAAACACUAAAAUCAACGAGCCUACCAGUUGUUGCCUCCUGGUGUAGCACGGUAGCGUAUCCAUGUUAGGCCGGCGUGGCGGCUCCUGUUUGUUCUCGACCGCGGUAUCGGCGACUACUGGUUCUUACCCACAUCAACGGUAAAGAAAACCGUCCGUUUUACCGGAAUUACAUGUCAUUGUUCUCAACCCCAACAACGACCGGUAUCCAUCGUUCUUUUACAUAACUCUAAAACUCUAAGUUUCUCACAGGAAAGAUUACGGAGAUAAUGUCAGACGUGUAGAUGUGUGUAGUUUAAAUAAAUAAAAAGGAUUUAAGAAGAGGACUAUAGAUAAUUUUUACGGUAACGUUAUAAAUAUAAAGUGAAAUAUAAUCAUCAUUGUAUAACAUGGUACCGUAAGAAUAUAAGUCUCAUUUUUCUAUAAGUAUCGAAAAAG